Molecule: ribosomal RNA, 1585 nt
Filed under: Willeya protrudens
Lineage: Eukaryota; Fungi; Ascomycota; Eurotiomycetes; Verrucariales; Verrucariaceae
Description: LSU rRNA
Rfam family: Eukaryotic large subunit ribosomal RNA
Source: RNAcentral
AUAUCAAUAAGCGGAGGAAAAGAAACCAACCGGGAUUGCCUCAGUAACGGCGAGUGAAGCGGCAACAGCUCAAAUUUGAAAUCUGGCUCCCUCGGGGCGCCCGAGUUGUAAUUUGGAGAGGAUGUUUCGGGCAAGGCGGCGGUCUAAUUUGCUUGGAACAGCAAGUCAAAGAGGGUGAGAAUCCCGUCCAGGAUCGUUCGCCGCGCCCAUGUGAAGCUCCUUCGACGAGUCGAGUUGUUUGGGAAUGCAGCUCUAAAUGGGUGGUAAAUUUCAUCUAAAGCUAAAUAUGGGCCGGAGACCGAUAGCGCACAAGUAGAGUGAUCGAAAGAUGAAAAGCACUUUGAAAAGAGAGUUAAACAGUAUGUGAAAUUGUUGAAAGGGAAGCGCUUGCAACCAGACUUGUGGCUGACGGUUCCCCCGACCUUCUGGCCGGGUUACUCCGUCACGUCCAGGCCAACAUCGGUUUGGGUGGUCGGUUAAAGGCUCCGGGAAUGUAUCUACCUUCGGGUCGACUUAUAGCCCGGGGUGCAAUGCGGCCCACCCGGACCGAGGAACGCGCUCCGGCUCGGAUGUUGGCGUAAUGGUUGUAAGCGGCCCGUCUUGAAACACGGACCAAGGAGUCUAACAUCUAUGCGAGUGUCUGGGUGUGAAGCCCCUACGCGGAAUGAAAGUGAACGGAGGUAAGAACCCCGUCAGGGGCGCAUUAUCGACCGAUCCUGAUGUCUUCGGAUGGAUUUGAGUAAGAGCAUAGCUGUUGGGACCCGAAAGAUGGUGAACUAUGCAUGAAUAGGGUGAAGCCAGAGGAAACUCUGGUGGAGGCUCGCAGCGGUUCUGACGUGCAAAUCGAUCGUCAAAUUUGUGCAUAGGGGCGAAAGACUAAUCGAACCAUUGGGGAAACCGUCGAGUAGAGGGUGUGACCGGGUGGUUCUUGAACAGUCCUGCGGGGCUACAUCGUCCUUCUGGCGGGUAUUUAUCACCCGCAGCAGUUUUGGCUGUUCACAGACUAGGAGACGGUGGUCAUCUUGACCGCAAGAUGAUGAUGAUAUAGUCGGUCGCGGUGAAACGUCCUGAACCGUGAAUCAACGCUGGUAGCUGGUUCCUGUCGAAGUUUCCCUCAGGAUAGCAGUAACGUUUUCAGUUUUAUGAGGUAAAGCGAAUGAUUAGAGGCCUUGGGGUUGUAACAACCUUAACCUAUUCUCAAACUUUAAAUAUGUAAGAAGUCCUUGUUACUUGAUUGAACGUGGACAUUUGAAUGUAUCGUUACUAGUGGGCCAUUUUUGGUAAGCAGAACUGGCGAUGCGGGAUGAACCGAACGUGAGGUUAAGGUGCCGGAAUGUACGCUCAUCAGACACCACAAAAGGUGUCAAUGCAUCCAGACAGCCGGACGGUGGCCAUGGAAGUCGGAAUCCGCUUAGGAGUGUGUAACAACUCACCGGCCGAAUGCAUUGGCCCUGAAAAUGGAUGGCGCUUAAGCGUGCUACCUAUACCUCGCCGUUGGGGUUGAAAUGAUGCCCCAACGAGUAGGCAGGCGUGGGGGUUGGUGACGAAGCCUUGGGGGUGACCCCGGGUCGAACAACCUCUAGUG